This 2262-nucleotide long non-coding RNA is filed under the name Brassica napus (rape). RNAcentral describes it as "long non-coding RNA (BNAP_LNC023629)". The record is from RNAcentral. Lineage: Eukaryota; Viridiplantae; Streptophyta; Magnoliopsida; Brassicales; Brassicaceae.
UGCUUGGAAGAAUAACAUCCUCAACCUCAGCUCCUUCAUGGAUCUGCUGGAAAGCAGAUUCUAUGUCUUCAACAGAUCUCACUUCCAGAACGGGCAGAGCUUCCGUCAGUUCUUUGGCAGUGUCUGACCCUACUGAAGAUGGCCCAGGUUCAGAAUCUGUCACAACUUCCUUAACACCGAAGUCUCCAAUCGUGUCAAGUUCAGACAACAACCCUUCAUCAAUCUCUUUUAUCUCGUCUGCCUCUUCAGCGAUAACUUCAGGAGGACUUUGAGAUAUUUCAUGUAAAUCUGUAAGCUGAUCUAAUUGCUCGACCACAUGGUCAGGCCCCUCAUUAACAGUCUCUUGGAAGAACUCCGUCUUUGAGCCUUCACCAACCAUAGGUGUUUCGUACUCAGGAGACUCUGCUGGAGAUGAGGAUGUAUCAGAUGUCAAACAAGAUAACUCUGUUGUAUCCUCAGGAGCUUCGUGAUACUCGUGGAAAGUGACGUUACGGGAAAAGACCACACUCAGAGGAGCUGCACGAGCUGGUUCCUGCAACAACGUAGCACAGCGGUUAGACUCCUGCUUAACAAAUUGCAGAAAGAAGAAAGAAAUUCAAACAUUUUGGAGGUAUUAGCUCUGAUGUUAUGUACAGUUCAACGUAAGAAACCACAAAUCUAGAAUACGUACCACUGUCAAAUAUGACAUGGAAAAAAAAAAAAUGACAUGGGAAUAAUAAAUAGGUAAAGCAUGAGACUGCGCCGAGAAUGUGUUUUUUUUUUCCACAUGUGUCAAAGCACCAUCAAGUAAUUAAUAUCUUAUACUUAUAAUCCCUUUAUAAGUAUAUCACAUAGACUAUCUUAAGCUAAGAGGAGAGCAGUAGAAGAUCGUAUUACUAAAAGUAUCUACGGGAGAACAUAAGUUUCAUGACUUACUUGAUCUUCACCAGGUUCAAGGGAUGAUUGUUCUACCACAGAUUUAUCUGAACAGGUUGGUUCUCUAUCUGAUUCAGAUGGAGUCGUUUCUUCGGAUCCCACAUUUUGAGCACUAGUAUUCACAGAGUCUACUUCAAUAACCAUAGUUUGGUUAGAGUGUGUUUCUUCCUUGGCAUCAGAAACUGAUGACUGAACUGGAUCUUGUUCCGCCUUCGGAGCAUCUUCGUCAUUAAAUGAAUGCGUCUCAACAUACUCAACUGCUCCAGAAGACAGAGUGGCGUAGCUGUCUAUUGGGAUGUCUGCAGUGAAUGUUUGAGGACUGGCUUCAUCUUUUUGUUUAUUCUCUUCCUCCUGCACUAUGCCUUCAGCUACCUUCCGUUGACAUCUCCUCUAUUGAUUUUGAAGUUUCCUCCAGUGAUCGAGUUUCGGUAGACGAUACAUCGGAUGUGGUUCUCUCUUUCGGUCUACUUUCCUCAUCUUCUUCUUUCUCAGGUGUGUUGUUAAGAUUAACAUUUGUCUCAUCAAGAGAUCUUUCUUCAAUUAAAGACCCUGAUGGUUCCAUUUCAACUCCGCACUUGGUUUCUCCAGACCCACCAUCUGUUUCUGGUGACAUUGGUUGCUUGCCCAUGCUCUCUACUACAGCCUCAUUCAUAGCAGUAUCUAGAUCAUCUUUCGACGUAGCUUCCACAACUGUUAACUCUGAUUUUGCCUCUGUUGAGUUUUCAGAAUUUUCUUGAGCCAACUGGUCUUGAACGGUGCUUGGAAGAAUAACAUCCUCAACCUCAGCUCCUUCAUGGAUCUGCUGGAAAGCAGAUUCUAUGUCUUCAACAGAUCUCACUUCCAGAACGGGCAGAGCUUCCGUCAGUUCUUUGGCAGUGUCUGACCCUACUGAAGAUGGCCCAGGUUCAGAAUCUGUCACAACUUCCUUAACACCGAAGUCUCCAAUCGUGUCAAGUUCAGACAACAACCCUUCAUCAAUCUCUUUUAUCUCGUCUGCCUCUUCAGCGAUAACUUCAGGAGGACUUUGAGAUAUUUCAUGUAAAUCUGUAAGCUGAUCUAAUUGCUCGACCACAUGGUCAGGCCCCUCAUUAACAGUCUCUUGGAAGAACUCCGUCUUUGAGCCUUCACCAACCAUAGGUGUUUCGUACUCAGGAGACUCUGCUGGAGAUGAGGAUGUAUCAGAUGUCAAACAAGAUAACUCUGUUGUAUCCUCAGGAGCUUCGUGAUACUCGUGGAAAGUGACGUUACGGGAAAAGACCACACUCAGAGGAGCUGCACGAGCUGGUUCCUGCAACAACGUAGCACAGCGGUUAGACUCCUGCUUAACAAAUUGCAGAAAGAAGAAAG